CGGUAGUUAGGUGGACGGGAACGGGUAAGUAACAUAGCGGAACGUACCAAGUAAGGGGGGAAUAACUAGUCGAAAGACUGGCUAAUACCGCAUACCGCCCUGGGGGGAAAGGCGGGGGAUCGAAAGACCUCGUGUUAUUGGAGCGGCCGAUAUCUGAUUAGCUAGUUGGUGGGGUAAAGGCCUACCAAGGCGACGAUCAGUAGCUGGUCUGAGAGGACGACCAGCCACACUGGAACUGAGACACGGUCCAG
This 251-nucleotide ribosomal RNA is filed under the name uncultured bacterium. RNAcentral describes it as "partial 16S ribosomal RNA". It matches the Rfam family "Bacterial small subunit ribosomal RNA", at positions 100 to 334 of the family's 1533-position model. The record is from RNAcentral.